CAGAGGAAAGCCUGGGGACAGGGGGAGCACGGGGCCGAAGGGAUCUCGUGGGCCCAAAGGGUUUCAAGGUCAUCUUGGUCAUGCAGGGCGUCAUGGUCAGACUGGAGAACCUGGACUUCCUGGACAAGUGUAUAUCCUACCAGGCAUGGAGGGAGAAACAGGAAACCCAGGUCCUCCAGCCACAUGCAACUGUUCACAGGUUCAGAGCCCACAACGAUUGGUGGACAGCGUGCACACGGUGUUUGUUGCGGAUGGAGAGAAAGCGAUGAGAAGGCUGCGCGUGGAGAAUGUGAUGGUGCUUCGCACGGACAAAAAGGCUCUGUACAUCUACACUGAGUCUCAGUGGAUCAACGUAUUGCAGGAUCCCCGACACUGACGGCAUACUGAAGCUGAACCAGACCUCCAACCUCAGCUGUCCAUUAGCAGCGUCUGACCAGCUCCUCUAACAUUUACAAGCAUUCCCUUGGAUUUGUGUGACCACUCUAAUAUGACCUAUAAAUAUCCUUUUGUGAAAACUCGAGCUGAAAGGAUUUUUUCCACCAAGUUGGUGUUGUGGCCUGAUGAGUGACGGAAGGCUCAUCAGCGUUGUCUAAUUGUCCAUCACAGACUGUUGGUCACUGAACAUCCUCGGGAUCACCCCUGCAGCAGUUCUAACUUUAGUAAUCACCAUCAUUUACAAAGUUUACAUGUUAUAUUUGAUAAGAUCUGACAACUGAAAGCAUAACGUCAUCAGGACUGUGCUGUGUGACUCUCCUGAGGUCACAGAGUAAGGAGGCUCAUUUCCUCACAGACACAAACAGAAGUCACUUAAAAUAAUGUUCCUGUAUCGUUUACCUUUCCAGACCUGGAAGCUAUGCCUGUCUUUUGUCUCAACUGAUGAUUUAUGCAUGCAUCAUUUAAAAGCACUUAAACAAGUCUUCAUCAUAACACACCAAAAGGAAAGUGUUUCUUUCUUGUGAUGCUGCAGUGAUCCACCUCCUACAAAGAGCUC
Molecule: long non-coding RNA, 991 nt
Organism: Astatotilapia calliptera (eastern happy)
Lineage: Eukaryota; Metazoa; Chordata; Actinopteri; Cichliformes; Cichlidae
Source: Ensembl